GUUCUUCAAGAAUCCACAUUCCUCUAUAAGACCUCUGGAAAGGCUAGGCCCCUCUCAUCCCCAUACAGCAGAUUGUAUCCUACUUGAUACAAGGAGUCAUGAGUUGGAGACCUUCAAUUUAUUGGACUAUAGUAUCUCAAGUGUCAGUGUUGAUCCUAUUAUGAAGACGGUUGUGGACACUGACAGAGUGCAUAAGAAAGCCAACAGGGCAAUAAAAUGAGAGACAGUAUGUGGAUGCUGAUACAAAACAUUAUCUUGGAAGACUGUGCUAUGUUAGAAAGAUUGAAGAUUAAGAUUGAAAUUAGGGUUGCUAAGAGAAACAAAGUUGAAGUUCUCAAAUCAGAAACCCUUACAACUCAAAGGAAUCUGAAAACCAAGACAACAAAUUAUGCUCUCAAAAGUCAUAAAUAUAAAAGAAAAAAAUCACUAGACAUCCCUACUUGGAAUUAAAUGGGGAUAUCUAAUGACCAGAAAUCUCAAAAAUCUCCCUUGAGUAACAUCUGAAAGUUCCAGAGUCCCAGAGGGAUACAAAUCAUGUCCAAAGAAGAAGGGCUGAGGGAUUCAGAGUUAUAUGGCAUUAAUAACCGCAAGUAAGCACCUUUGGAGUGUGUGUACAAAAUAAACAAGAUAAGCGAUGUUUAACUGGUAGGAAAUUUGAAUAUCUAGUAUUAGAGAAAAAAGACAUCACCUUUACCAAGAAGAGAAAAUUAAGUAUAGUUUAGGUGAACAGAAGAACCGAUUCUCUUAAAGUAAAAUCGACAUACAUUUUCAACUUAAAAAAUCUUUUCAUGCUAAGUUUGAUGUAAGUGAUCACUGGAUGACUGGCCAGAGGGUAAAUACAUUAAGACUGAAAAAAAGAAAAAUAAGCAAAAGUUAAUAGAAAGUCCUGGACUUCUAAAGGGGCCAUGUUCCAAAUUUGUUCAGAAGUCAGUUGUUCUACACCACAAACUUGAUUGAGCAUAGGGAGUGUUGUAAUGGUAGUUAGGUUCUACUUACACACAGCACCAAGAGUCUGUCUGCACAAUACACUGGCUGAGAUCUAAAAAGAUCAAAAUCAGAAAUGGGGAUGGGAUGGAGAUUUAGGCCAGAAUGAAAGCAAAUACUUGUGCUGAUCCAGGAUACAAGAG
Homo sapiens (human) is the source of this 1127-nucleotide long non-coding RNA. RefSeq lists it as uncharacterized. The transcript is spliced from 3 exons. The record is from RefSeq and is a predicted model, not a curated record. Lineage: Eukaryota; Metazoa; Chordata; Mammalia; Primates; Hominidae.